This 464-nucleotide ribosomal RNA is filed under the name uncultured bacterium. RNAcentral describes it as "partial 16S ribosomal RNA". It matches the Rfam family "Bacterial small subunit ribosomal RNA", at positions 28 to 506 of the family's 1533-position model. The record is from RNAcentral.
GACGAACGCUGGCGGCGUGCUUAACACAUGCAAGUCGUACGGUAAGGCCCUUUCGGGGGUACCCGAGUGGCGAACGGGUGAGUAACACGUGAGUAACCUGCCCACAACUUUGGGAUAACGCUAGGAAACUGGUGCUAGUACUGGAUAUGUGCUCCUGCUGCAUGGUGGGGGUUGGAAAGCUCCGGCGGUUGUGGAUGGACUCGCGGCCUAUCAGCUUGUUGGUGGGGUAGUGGCCUACCAAGGCGGCGACGGGUAGCCGGCCUGAGAGGGUGACCGGCCACAUUGGGACUGAGAUACGGCCCAGACUCCUACGGGAGGCAGCAGUGGGGAAUAUUGCACAAUGGGCGCAAGCCUGAUGCAGCAACGCCGCGUGCGGGAUGACGGCCUUCGGGUUGUAAACCGCUUUCAGCAGGGACGAAGCUUUUUGUGACGGUACCUGCAGAAGAAGCACCGGCUAACUACGU